RNAcentral lists this ribosomal RNA (497 nucleotides) under uncultured bacterium. Its description in RNAcentral is "partial 16S ribosomal RNA". It matches the Rfam family "Bacterial small subunit ribosomal RNA", at positions 28 to 507 of the family's 1533-position model. The record is from RNAcentral.
GAUGAACGCUGGCGGCGUGCCUAAUACAUGCAAGUCGAGCGAACAGACGAGGAGCUUGCUCCUCUGACGUUGGCGGCGGACGGGUGAGUAACACGUGGAUAACCUACCUAUAAGACUGGGAUAACUUCGGGAAACCGGAGCUAAUACCGGAUAAUAUAUUGAACCGCAUGGUUCAAUAGUGAAAGACGGUUUUGCUGUCACUUAUAGAUGGAUCCGCGCCGCAUUAGCUAGUUGGUAAGGUAACGGCUUACCAAGGCAACGAUGCGUAGCCGACCUGAGAGGGUGAUAGGCCACACUGGAACUGAGACACGGUCCAGACUCCUAAGGGAGGCAGCAGUAGGGAAUCUUCCGCAAUGGGCGAAAGCAUGACGGAGCAACGCCGCGUGAGUGAUGAAGGUCUUCGGAUCGUAAAACUCUGUUAUUAGGGAAGAACAAAUGUGUAAGUAACUAUGCACGUCUUGACGGUACCUAAUCAGAAAGCCACGGCUAACUACGUG